GAAAGAGGAACAAACGACCCUCUCACUUGUGUCUCGCGGCCAGCAGCCAGACGCAGCCCUAGCAACAUGGCUGGGUCCAGAGUUUCCUCCAGACAGGUACACCCUGUCACCACGGACAGUCAGGCCUACUGACCGCGAGGAAAAGCCCAGGCUCCCCAUGAUGGGACGUGAUCGUCAUCAGAAGCAAAGACUCCUGCCGUUCCCGUUACCUGCUCGUGAAACCUUACAGGCCCAGCAGAAUCAGGACGUUGCUCCCUGAGCCGCCACUGGUACAGCUCAUGGGGCUUGCUGAGGGCCGGUCUGUGUGUCUUCCUUGACCAUGAGGACCACAAGGGAAGGAUCAAGUCUAAUCCACCCCGAGCAUCCAGUGCACCCACAAUGGACACCAUAAAUGUUUGACCCAUGGAUGAAUGAGUGAGAGAUGGCAUCCCAGCGAGCGGCAUGCCCCGGUCCAAUUCCCAGGGGCCCAACGGUGGCUCCAUUCCAUUCACUCCUAUGUGGAAAACCUG
This is a long non-coding RNA of Balaenoptera ricei (Rice's whale), 509 nucleotides long. RefSeq lists it as uncharacterized. The record is from RefSeq and is a predicted model, not a curated record. NCBI's taxonomy places the organism in Eukaryota, Metazoa, Chordata, Mammalia, Artiodactyla, Balaenopteridae. The transcript has 3 exons.